This 2768-nucleotide long non-coding RNA is filed under the name Homo sapiens (human). Its description in RNAcentral is "HSALNT0239044". The record is from RNAcentral. Lineage: Eukaryota; Metazoa; Chordata; Mammalia; Primates; Hominidae.
UAUGAAGACUGGGUCAGCUUUGAUUUGAGAUCCUUCGAUGAGGAACUUUAUGAAUCCAGAAAGAGCCAACGUUUGAAUGAUUACUGCAAUCUCACAUCUAUUAAAUCCUGAUACCUGCAACCAAGAGAUGAGUAGGAGAUGUGGAUCCUAAGAGGUGACCUGUAACAUACUGCCCCUCAAACCACAUCUUUGGAUUUCAAUAGAAAGAACAGAGAGAGGCCGGUCGCGGUGGCUCAUGCCUGUAAUCCCAGCACUUUGGGAGGCCGAGGCGGGCGGAUCACGAGGUCAAGAGAUCGAGACCAUCCUGGCUAACACAGUGAAACCCCAUCUCUACUAAAAAAAAAAUACAAAAAAAAAAAAAAAAGAACAGAGAGAAUUAAACCAGCUAGGGCCACACGCGGUGGCUCAUGUCUAUAAUCCCAGCACUUUGGGAGGCCAAGGUGGGCAGAUCACAAGGUCAGGAGUUCGAGACCAGCCUGGCCAAUAUGGUGAAACCCCAUCUCUACUAAAAAUAGAAAAAUUAGCUGGGCAUGGCGGUGGGCACCUGUAGUCCCACCUACUCAGGAGGCUGAGGCAGAAGAAUCGCUUGAACUGGGGAGGCGGAGGCUGCAGUGAGCCGAGAUCGCGCCACUGCACUCCAGCCUCGGCGACAGAGCGAGACUCUGUCUCAAAACAAAACAAAAGAAAAAACAGCUAAACUAUGGCAAAGAGGCAUUAAUGAAUUUAUUGAUAGCAAACAAAGAAGUAAAGAUAAGAGGUGAAUUCAGCAGACUCCAGAAAGUCAACUUUUGGUUUGGGCAGGAAGGAGUGAACCAGUAAGAAACAGAGCUUGAGGUCCUCCGUGAUUACAGUCCCAAGAAGAAACUUCCACAAGUCUAGAAUACUCUAGAGCUCUCACUGGCAUGAAACGAACUGCUAAGAUUACAGUCCAUAAUUUGUGAUCCUUGCUUUAAGAAUUCUGGGAUCCAGGGCAGGUGCGGUGGCUCAUGCCUGUAAUCCCCAGCACUUUGGGAGGCCAAGACGGGUGGAUUACCUGAGGUCAGGAGUUCAGGACCAGACUGGCCAACGUGGUGAAACCCCAUCUCUACUAAAAAAAAAUACAAAAAAUUAGCCGGGCGUGGUGGUGGGUGCCUGUAAUCCCAGCUACUCGAUAGGCUGAGACAGAAUUGCUUGAACCUGGGAGGUGGAGGUUGCAAUGAGCUUAGAUCACAUCAUUGCACUCCAACCUGGGCAAUAAGAGUGAAACUCUGUCUCAAAAAAAAAAAAAAAAAAAAAAAGAAUUCUGGGAUCCAAUCAGGCACAUUGGCUCACGCCUGUAAUCCAAGCACUUUGGGAGGCCAAGGUGGGAGGAUCACAUUAGGUCAGGAGUUUGAGACCAGCCUGGCCAACAUGGCAAAACCCCAUCUCUACGAAAAAUACAAAAUUAGCCGGGCAUGGUGGCAUGUGCUUGUAAUCCCAGCUACUCGAGAGGCUGAGGCAGGAGAAUCACCUGGGUCCAGAAGGCGGAGGUUGCAGUGAGCCGAGAUCAUGCCACUCCACUCCAGCCUGGGCGACACAGCGAGCCUCUGUCUCAAAAAAAAAAAAAGAAUUCUGGGAUCCAUUUGUCAUCCUUUCCAGAAGACUUCCUCCAGUACUAAGAAAGUCCACAAGCCCCUUGACCAGUUUCACUGACGUCAAGAAUCAGAUCCUGCUAGGGUAGAAAAGGUACGGAAUGAGCUCAGACUGUGGCAAGGUCAUGAGGGUUGUGAUGAAACAAGAAUGAAACAACCUCUCCCCACAACAUAUUCUAGAAAGCAGAGAUGUCAGAAUAAAGGAAUCCUCCAGAGGCCUGGCGGCUGAGUGGAGGCAUUUUAUUUAAAAGCUUCAAACUACCCACACCUUUUGAUUACCAUCUGGCUUUUUCUAUUUUUCUUUUGUUUUCUUUUUUUUUUUUUUCCUGGACAGAAUUGACUGGGGUCUGACUUUUUCUUAAAUGUAAAUUCCAAUAUAAUUUUACAGCUGGUAUUUCCAGAAUUAGAUCCAGAAAUCAACACUAGCACUACUCUCUGAAAGUGUUUCAGAAUGCAACUCUUAACUGCUGAAGAGAAUCAAGUAGUAACCUGGAGCAGGCCAAAUGAGUUACAGACAUUACAGAGAAAGAUCGAUCACUUUGGCAGAGCCUCUCUGUGAGCUUUAGCUAGUUUUCCUAACGCCAGCUGGUAUGCUACGUUAGCUACCCAAGGCAGGGGGACUAUGGUAUCACAGUGACCACAGAACUAAGCUUUUCCAACUCUCCUGGGGCACCUGCACAAGUGCUAGCAUUUCCCAGACUACCUCUAAUUAAGGAACAAACCUUUUUCCCUACUGGAAAAUUCAAAAGUGCUUUCAUCUCUGCUCCCUGCCCCCGACCAGAAGAGGUUUUAUUAGAGUUCUGAUGUCACACUCUCUGCUUUCCUGGGUGGCAUCUGAAAAAGGACCACCUGUGCCUUCAGGGUAGAUUUGUGCCAGUGAGAAAACCUCAGCUUCAGGAAUUCAUGACCAGCCUGGUCAACCAUGGUGAAACCCCGUCUCUACUAAAAAUACAAAAAUUAGCUGGGCAUGGUGGCACACACCUGUAAUCCCAGCUACUCAGGAGGCUGAGGCAAGAGAAUCGCUUGAACUCGGGAGGUGGAGGGUGCAGUGAGCUGAGAUGGCACCACUGCACUCCAGCCAGGGUCACAGGGCGAGACUCCGUCUCAAAAUAAAUAAAUUAAAUAAAUAAAUAAAUAAAUAAAACAAACAAAAAAAAU